ACAAUAACAAGAAAAUAAUAAUAAUAAUAAUAAUAAUAAUAAUAAUCUGAAGACGACAUGUUGCCCCUCCUCUUUGAACCCGGGCUUGGGACCGGCUGUGUCGAAAAGACAUAAACGACACAGGCAGAGUUGUCAGGUGUCAUUUUAAGCUCUUCAAAAGUAAUGGAAGGCCUUAAAAUGACAAUAAUCUUCAAUUGAUUAUAUUUUUAAUUUUGGAUGGGCUCUCCACUGAUCAUCUGAAGAGCGAGAGCAAGAAGGCCGCCAUUGACAGACCAAACACCGACCAAAUUAUCCAGCAUAAACUCCCCGGAAGGAAGGAGAUCGCCAUUAGGUAGAACAUCAUUGAGGAAUUGAGAAGGCGGAAUCUGUGGAGAGACGAGCAAUCCUACGGCCGCCUGAAAAGUGAGACUCAAAUUCCUCUCCCCGACGCUCCUGGAAUUGGAUAGCUCUGGAAUUCAUUAACGACGUACAAUGGAAGUGUGCGAUGCUGCAGUGCGUCGAAUCUCCUUCGAUUGAGCGCCAUUGCGUGAAUAAAUCUGAUCGGGAUAAAGCUUGUUUCAUGACAUUACGAAAGGAAAAUGGAGGAGGAUCUGGAGGACGAGGAGGUGAAUUGGAAGCCAUGGCUGUGUUCCUCUAUCCUAUCAGUGCAAAUUCCCAGAAGCUUCAAAGAUCAACAGCCAUGCUUUAUGAAGUUUCCUUGAAGAUUCUCGUAUGGACUUUUUUUUUUUCUUGGAUCAAGUCUAGAUAAGAAGCUUCCCAGCAGAAGCAGCUUAGAAUGAACUCUUCAACAACUAUAAAUACGUCUAAACAACACAGAUGCGCAAUGAGGUUCCCUCAUAUUGUCCAGCAAUGAAGAACGCUGGAGCUAUCAAUAUGAGUCCAGAGACUUCUUUUCCCCAGCAUUUUCACAUCCUUGGUAAGGCAUGUUCAAGAUUGGACAUUUCAACCAAUCUGAUGUACUGUAUAUUGUGCUGCUCCUUCAAAACAGUGACCCUCAUUCUCUUGUUUCCUUAUGAGCAAGUGAAUGGGAAUCCUGUGCCUACUGUAAUCUUCAAAGGCCUUCCAUCAACUUUCCAUGCCUUUCUACUUUCAACUGUGAUGGCAUUCUCAGGCGCAUUUAACGCCUUGAUGUUUUCUGCUAAUAAGCCAAAAAUUGCCAGGUUUUGCAGCUACUAUUCUAUGGCAUUUAUGGCCUCAGCUGUAGUUUUAUUGAUUUGGGCUGUGUAUCAGACGGUUUUUAACCGGAGACAAUGGCAGGAUUAAGACAUAUUUAGAUGUUUCCCCUACUUAUCAGUUUCAAGGGGGAGCAUUUCAGACGUUUCCUGUAAUAAUAGAGUUCAUACAAUCUGAGACUUGUACAAGUCUGCCAAAAAUGCAUUAAUCAAAAGGAACCUUUCGAAUAUUUCAAGCGGAUUUUCCAGUCCUAGACUCCUUGUGUAUGUCAAGAAAGCAAAAAGAAAGUUGUCAAAAGAAUGGAAAUUCCAUUUUCUAGUCAGGCUGAAGAAUCCCAAUCCUUGAGAAGAUUUUUUCUACAAGUUGGAUAAUUACUUUCCACCUUAAACUAUGAGUUAAUUGUUUGCUUCAAUUUUUCUGCUCCAGCACUUUAUCCU
Long non-coding RNA from Cucurbita pepo subsp. pepo (vegetable marrow), 1610 nucleotides. RefSeq lists it as uncharacterized. NCBI's taxonomy places the organism in Eukaryota, Viridiplantae, Streptophyta, Magnoliopsida, Cucurbitales, Cucurbitaceae. The record is from RefSeq and is a predicted model, not a curated record.